Molecule: long non-coding RNA, 1529 nt
Organism: Eriocheir sinensis (Chinese mitten crab)
Lineage: Eukaryota; Metazoa; Arthropoda; Malacostraca; Decapoda; Varunidae
Exons: 3
Source: RefSeq, a predicted model, not a curated record
GGUGACCCGGGGUAGGCCUGGGGUUGUCACGGCUAGAAAAGGUUUGAUAAGGAUAGGUAUUGGGGCUAGGGAGCUACAUAUUUGAUUAGGGUUUGAUAGGACUGAUUGGUUUGGUUAGGUUAGGUUAGGCUUUAGGGUUUGAUAGGGCUGACUGGUUGGGUUGGGUUAGGUUAGGUUAGGUUAGGCUUUAGGGUUUGAUAGGGCUGACUGGUUGGGUUGGGUUAGGUUAGGUUAGGUUAGGCUUUAGGGUUUGAUAGGGCUGACUGGUUGGGUUAGGUUAGGUUAGGUUAGGUUAGGUUAGGUUAACAGCUUGGGUCAGUACAGGUGAGGGGUGACCCGGGGUAGGCCUGGGGUUGUUACGGCUAGAAAAGGUUUGAUGAGGGUAGGUAUAGGGGCUAGGGAGCUGAUUAGGGUUUGAUUAUGUUAGUUGUGAGGGGUUUUAAGUCUACUGAAGGGAGCGACCAGGGCUGGGCCAGGCAUCAUUAAGGAUAGGCAACAGUGCAUGGGAGUGGGUGGGGGCUGUUCUGCGGGGCUUAGAGGAAACAGUGAUGUGAGUCUGAGGGGCUGGUGGUCUGAGAGAAGGUUCUAUUCAUCAAGACCAGGGAUAGACCAGGGAUUGUUAGGGCUAGGCAACAGUGUAUGGGAGUGGGUGGGGGCUGUUCUGCGGGGCUUAGAGGAAACAGUGAUAUGAGUCUGAGGGGCUAGUGGUCUUGAGAGGAGGUCCAGGGCUUGUUAGGGCUAGGAAACAGCUUGUGUGGGAGUGGAUAGGGGCUGUGGGGUGGGUCUGAGGGGCUGGUGGUCUUGAGAGGAGGUCCAGGGCUUGUUAGGGCUAGGAAACAGCGUGUGUCGGAGUGGAUAGGGGCUGUGGGGUGGGUCUGAGGGGCUGGUGGUCUUGAGAGAAGGUCCAGGGCUUGUUUGGGCUAGGAAACAGCUUGUGUCGGAGUGGAUAGGGGCUGUGGGGUGGGUCUGAGGGGCUAGCGAUCUGUGAGAUAGCUCCGUUCAUCAAGACAUAACAAACAGUUCACCUAAGUAGCUACAGGACAGGAAUAGAAUCUCGACCAGUGAUAUUAGGAGCCAGCAUCACACCCAUUCAGUCCAUAAGACGACACUGUGACUAGGCUCAAUUACAGCCACUUGUCGCAUCAGGUAGGCCUAUGUAUAAGUUAACAGCAAGAACAGGUGUGGGGAACUAGUUAAUUAAGGCCGCCAGGUGUUAACGAGAGCCACACACACACACAGACUAUACAGGUAAGUGACUUGUUAUUAUUAUCAUUAUUAUUACCAUGAGAUGUACAUUGGGUUUGUGUAGUUCCGUAAAGCCUUGUUAUAGAAUUAGUUACGUGUCUGCCUGUCUGUCUGUCUGUCUGUCUAAGGGCUGUAAUAUCUGAGGGGGGGGUGCUAGGGGGGGGCUAAUCUACUGUAUUUGGGGGGGCGCUAGGUGGGGGGCUUUCUGUAUCAGCUUCAAAAAUCGCCUUAAAAAAUCGCUUAGUUCCCCCUAAAAUUUCCUCCAUGCUUGCUUUGCUCGGCGC